This 216-nucleotide ribosomal RNA is filed under the name Glomeromycotina sp. Its description in RNAcentral is "partial small subunit ribosomal RNA". The stretch from base 40 to 216 matches the Rfam family "Eukaryotic small subunit ribosomal RNA", at positions 686 to 864 of the family's 1831-position model. Lineage: Eukaryota; Fungi; Glomeromycota. The record is from RNAcentral.
GGGUCAGUAGGUUGGUCGUGCCACCGGUACGUACUGGUCUCACUGAUUCCUCCUUCCUGAAGAACCGUAAUGCCAUUAAUUUGGUGUUGCGGGGAAACAGGACUGUUACUUUGAAAAAACUAGAGUGUUUAAAGCAAGCUAACACUUGAAUACAUUAGCAUGGAAUAAUGAAAUAGGACGAUCGAUCCUAUUUUGUUGGUUUCUAGGAUUGACGUA